This 85-nucleotide ribosomal RNA is filed under the name Tissierellia bacterium. RNAcentral describes it as "partial 16S ribosomal RNA". It matches the Rfam family "Bacterial small subunit ribosomal RNA", at positions 1 to 84 of the family's 1533-position model. The record is from RNAcentral. Lineage: Bacteria; Bacillati; Bacillota; Tissierellia.
UUUAAAUGAGAGUUUGAUCCUGGCUCAGGACGAACGCUGGCGGCGUGCCUAACACAUGCAAGUCGAGCGAAGCACCUAUGACAGA